RNAcentral lists this ribosomal RNA (446 nucleotides) under uncultured bacterium. RNAcentral describes it as "partial 16S ribosomal RNA". It matches the Rfam family "Bacterial small subunit ribosomal RNA", at positions 338 to 795 of the family's 1533-position model. The record is from RNAcentral.
CCUACGGGAGGCUGCAGUCGAGAAUUAUUCACAAUGGGGGAAACCCUGAUGGUGCGACGCCGCGUGGGGGAAUGAAGGUCUUCGGAUUGUAAACCCCUGUCAUGUGGGAGCAAAUUAAAAAGAUAGUACCACAAGAGGAAGAGACGGCUAACUCUGUGCCAGCAGCCGCGGUAAUACAGAGGUCUCAAGCGUUGUUCGGAAUCACUGGGCGUAAGGCGUGCGUAGGCUGUUUCGUAAGUCGUGUGUGAAAGGCGCGGGCUCAACCCGCGGACGGCACAUGAUACUGCGAGACUAGAGUAAUGGAGGGGGAACCGGAAUUCUCGGGGUAGCAGUGAAAUGCGUAGAUAUCGAGAGGAACACUCGUGGCGAAGGCGGGUUCCUGGACAUUAACUGACGCUGAGGCACGAAGGCCAGGGGAGCGAAAGGGAUUAGAUACCCCAGUAGUC